AUUGAACGCUGGCGGCAUGCCUUACACAUGCAAGUCGAACGGCAGCGGACCUUCGGGUGCCGGCGAGUGGCGAACGGGUGAGUAAUAUAUCGGAACGUACCUUUCAGUGGGGGAUAACGUAGCGAAAGUUACGCUAAUACCGCAUAUUCUGUGAGCAGGAAAGCAGGGGAUCGCAAGACCUUGCGCUGAUUGAGCGGCCGAUAUCAGAUUAGCUAGUUGGUGAGGUAAAGGCUCACCAAGGCGACGAUCUGUAGCGGGUCUGAGAGGAUGAUCCGCCACACUGGAACUGAGACACGGUCCAGACUCCUACGGGAGGCAGCAGUGGGGAAUAUUGGACAAUGGGGGGAACCCUGAUCCAGCCAUGCCGCGUGAGGGAAGAAGGUCCUCUGGAUUGUAAACCUCUUUUGGCAGGAAACAAACCUGCGCUAUACGCGCAGCUGAGGGUACCUGCAGAAUAAGCACCGGCUAACUCCGUG
Molecule: ribosomal RNA, 476 nt
Filed under: uncultured bacterium
Lineage: Bacteria
Description: bacterial SSU rRNA
Rfam family: Bacterial small subunit ribosomal RNA
Source: RNAcentral